UACGGAGGGUGCAAGCGUUAUCCGGAUUCACUGGGUUUAAAGGGUGCGUAGGUGGGCAGGUAAGUCAGUGGUGAAAUCUCCGGGCUUAACUCGGAAACUGCCAUUGAUACUAUCUUUCUUGAAUACCGUGGAGGUCAGCAGAAUAUGUCAUGUAGCGGUGAAAUGCUUAGAUAUGACAUAGAACACCAAUUGCGAAGGCAGCUGGCUACACGAAUAUUGACACUGAUGCACGAAAGCGUGGGGAUCAAACAGG
This 253-nucleotide ribosomal RNA is filed under the name uncultured bacterium. RNAcentral describes it as "partial 16S ribosomal RNA". It matches the Rfam family "Bacterial small subunit ribosomal RNA", at positions 524 to 776 of the family's 1533-position model. The record is from RNAcentral.